GGAAAUAAUAGCCGUUACUUAUUUAAAGCCAUGAAUUGUUACUUCAAGUAGCUCCAUCUUAUUUGUGAUGUAUAUUUUAAGUACAAAUUGAAUGCCAUUGUAAAUUACUAACUUAGUUAAACAAAUAAGCUUCAUAUAUAUAAGAAAUAGUGCAUUUCAACUGUUGUAAUGCGAGGGAUAAAAAAUUUUGAGAUAAUGCUAUGCCUGCCUGCCAUUUUGUCAAAAACUAUGUCUAACAAAGUACUGAGCAUUUGAUUAGUUCGGUUUUGAAUGACUGAACCAAACUAACUGAAAAACUGAACUUAUCUUUUAUGGAAAUCGAUCCAAACUAAA
This 333-nucleotide unclassified non-coding RNA is filed under the name Hevea brasiliensis (rubber tree). The record is from RNAcentral. Lineage: Eukaryota; Viridiplantae; Streptophyta; Magnoliopsida; Malpighiales; Euphorbiaceae.